UGGGAGCUUGCUGGCUGAGAUUAGCGGCGGACGGGUGAGUAACACGUGGGCAACCUGCCUAUAAGACUGGGAUAACUUCGGGAAACCGGAGCUAAUACCGGAUACGUUCAAAACUCGCAUGAGAGUUGAUGGAAAGACGGUUUCGGCUGUCACUUAUAGAUGGGCCCGCGGCGCAUUAGCUAGUUGGUGAGGUAAUGGCUCACCAAGGCGACGAUGCGUAGCCGACCUGAGAGGGUGAUCGGCCACACUGGGACUGAGACACGGCCCAGACUCCUACGGGAGGCAGCAGUAGGGAAUCUUCCGCAAUGGACGAAAGUCUGACGGAGCAACGCCGCGUGAACGAAGAAGGCCUUCGGGUCGUAAAGUUCUGUUGUUAGGGAAGAACAAGUAGGAGAGUAACUGCUGGUACCUUGACGGUACCUAACCAGAUUGCCACGGCUAACUACGUGCCAGCAGCCGCGGUAAUACGUAGGUGGCAAGCGUUGUCCGGAAUUAUUGGGCGUAAAGCGCGCGCAGGUGGUUGGUUAAGUCUGAUGUGAAAGCCCACGGCUCAACCGUGGAGGGUCAUUGGAAACUGGGGAACUUGAGUGCAGAAGAGGAAAGUGGAAUUCCAAGUGUAGCGGUGAAAUGCGUAGAGAUUU
RNAcentral lists this ribosomal RNA (641 nucleotides) under Bacillus sp. PAS22. Its description in RNAcentral is "bacterial SSU rRNA". It matches the Rfam family "Bacterial small subunit ribosomal RNA", at positions 71 to 699 of the family's 1533-position model. The record is from RNAcentral. Lineage: Bacteria; Bacillati; Bacillota; Bacilli; Caryophanales; Bacillaceae.